CUACGGGCUGCUGCAGUCGAGAAUCUUCCGCAAUGGACGAAAGUCUGACGGAGCGACGCCGCGUGCGGGAUGAAGGCCUUCGGGUUGUAAACCGCUGUCAGUGGGGAGGAAAUGCAUCAGGGUUCUCCCUGGUGUUUGACCGAUCCGCAGAGGAAGCGCAGGCUAAGUUCGUGCCAGCAGCCGCGGUAACACGAACUGCGCGAACGUUAUUCGGAAUCACUGGGCUUAAAGAGUUCGUAGGCGGCCUUUCAAGUCGGGUGUGAAAUCCCUCGGCUCAACCGAGGAAUUGCGCCUGAUACUGUUGGGCUUGAGGGGGAUAGGGGUGAGCGGAACUGAUGGUGGAGCGGUGAAAUGCGUUGAUAUCAUCAGGAACACCGGUGGCGAAGGCGGCUCACUGGAUCUCUUCUGACGCUGAGGAGCGAAAGCUAGGGGAGCGAACGGGAUUAGAUACCCCUGUAGUC
This 461-nucleotide ribosomal RNA is filed under the name uncultured bacterium. RNAcentral's name for it is "partial 16S ribosomal RNA". It matches the Rfam family "Bacterial small subunit ribosomal RNA", at positions 339 to 795 of the family's 1533-position model. The record is from RNAcentral.